CCUGUAUCGCUGGUGGUACACGAGGUACCUCUAGUUGGUACCUGAACGUGCAGUAAAUCACCUUGAAUCACACGAGAGGGGGUUUUGCCAUGUUGACCAGGCUGGUCUCGAACUCCUGACCUCAAGUGAUCCGCCUGCCUCGACCUCCCGAAGUGUUGGGAUUAUAGGUGUGAGCCACUGUGCCUGGCCCUAGAAGUUGGUUUUGACCCCAGGUCUGUCUUGACCAAGGUCCCUGUUCUUUCCUUGGCUUGUUCUGAUGGGGGUAGGGGAAAGUGAGGAAGGAUGGGAAUGAUUCGGGGUGGCAGGGGGAUGGUAGGUACGGGGGCUAAGAGGGGGAUCUAUAGCCAGACUGGUCUGCCUGGCUCCACAUCCCAGCCCUGCCUCUCGGGCACAUUGCCGACCUUCUCUGACCUUCUCUAUGCCUCAGUUUCCUCCCUGAAUAGGAGUUUUGUGUUGAUUGUAUGAGAAGAGAAGAUGUGUAAAACGCCCAGCACAACGAAUCAUCACACUUACCUCAUGGGGUUGUUGUGAAGAGUACGAGAGUUAAGUUUAGUUCAGGGAACUUUUAGAACAGAACCUGCAGGCAGGAAGCGCUCAUGAGCAUCGACCACGAAUAUUGUUCUUUUUCCCUUCCCUCUCCUUCAUGGGUGUGCACUGAGCUGCGGUUGCUUUGAAAUUGCUGCAUCUACAGUGACUUUGCAGAUGGUUUUCUUCUGCAGACUGACCCCAGUGAUACGCUCUUGCUGGGUGUCUGGAGAACUACAGCUUGUUUCCUCUGGGAAUCAUGAGACCAGUGGAGUGGAGGCUAGCUAGUCUCCUCUAACAGUGGCUGGCCUGAGCUCCACACCAUAUUUCCUGUCAGACCCCACUUGUAGGCAGAGCUAACAUGGGCACUGCCCUCCUGGGCCUGAUGUCAGGGAAACCUCCCCACAAAGUCAGGCUGGCUCUUAGAAGGGUGGGGACAUGUAGUAGGAGGGCUCCCGACCACCUGACCUGUGGCGUUGCUUCUUGCCUGGCAUUUUGGAGGGGCUGAGGCCCAUGGUGGGAUUUUUCAGCAGCCGGGGUCCUGGACAGCUCCUGCAUUCAUCCAGGGAUAUUGGUUGCAAGCAAUAGAAACUGAUUCAGGCUAUCUGAAGAAAAGUUAACUGUAGAGAAGGAAACUGAGGCUUCACUGAAUCAACCAGAGGGGAAGCACCAGAUGUGGGGAUGAUCUGGUUUGCUGCAGCCACAUUCAAAAGCUCAUUUCUCCUUGGAUCACUGGCUCUAGCUUGGAGGUUCUGGAAAAGAGCAUCUUAUUGGAAUAACGUGGAUCAGGGGUUAAUAACAUGGGAACCAGGCUGCAGAGCAGGAGGUGAGCAGGAGGCAAGUGAGUGAAGCUUCAUCUGUAUUUACAAUCGCUCCCCAUUGCUUGAAUUACCACCAGAGCUCUGCCUCCUGUCAGAUCAGUGACCACAUUAGAUUCUCAUGGGAGCAUGAACCCCACUGUGAACUGCGCAUGUGCGGGAUCUUGGUUGCACGCUCCUUAUGAGAAUCUAAUGCCUGAUGAUCUGUCACUGUCUCCCAUCACCCCCAGAUGGGACCUUCUGGUUGCAGGAAAACAAGCUUAAGGCUCCCACUGAUUCUACAUGAUGUGCUCAACUGUGGAUUAUUUCACUGAUUGCCCAGCAAGCCUAGGAGGUAUGCAUCAUAACCUUGGUUUCGUGGGUAAGAACCUGAGACAUAGUGACUCGUGAGUGGAGAACUGGAAUUCAAGCCAGGGUGGACUCAGUGGGAGACCCAAACAACCAGGAUAUUUGCCGAGGCUGGAAUGGGCACGAGAUGCUCAGAGGAAGCGGAGUGGGCCCUCCUCGUGGACUCCAAGCUCCCAGGAGGGAAAACGUGAAACAACUGGAAAUGUGAACCAACUGCUGCCCCAAACACACACACACACACACACACACACACACACACACACACACCCCCAAAGGAAAACAAGAAAAUAAACCAGCUACAUA
This is a non-coding RNA of Callithrix jacchus (white-tufted-ear marmoset), 1994 nucleotides long. The record is from RefSeq and is a predicted model, not a curated record. Lineage: Eukaryota; Metazoa; Chordata; Mammalia; Primates; Cebidae.